GCCUGCUAUAGUCCAGUGGCACAGGUGUCUGCAUGUGAGGCAUAGGUCGUGGGUUCAAACCCCACCAGGCA
This 71-nucleotide transfer RNA is filed under the name Hordeum vulgare. RNAcentral describes it as "tRNA-His". Lineage: Eukaryota; Viridiplantae; Streptophyta; Magnoliopsida; Poales; Poaceae. The record is from RNAcentral.